This 1365-nucleotide ribosomal RNA is filed under the name uncultured bacterium. RNAcentral describes it as "bacterial SSU rRNA". It matches the Rfam family "Bacterial small subunit ribosomal RNA". The record is from RNAcentral.
AGAGUUUGAUCCUGGCUCAGGAUGAACGCUGGCGGCGUGCCUAACACAUGCAAGUCGAGCGAUUCUCUUCGGAGAAGAGCGGCGGACGGGUGAGUAACGCGUGGGUAACCUGCCCUGUACACACGGAUAACAUACCGAAAGGUAUGCUAAUACGAGAUAACAUAAGAAAUUCGCAUGUUUUUCUUAUCAAAGCUCCGGCGGUACAGGAUGGACCCGCGUCUGAUUAGCUAGUUGGUGAGGUAAUGGCUCACCAAGGCGACGAUCAGUAGCCGACCUGAGAGGGUGAUCGGCCACAUUGGAACUGAGACACGGUCCAAACUCCUACGGGAGGCAGCAGUGGGGAAUAUUGCACAAUGGGCGAAAGCCUGAUGCAGCAACGCCGCGUGAGCGAUGAAGGCCUUCGGGUCGUAAAGCUCUGUCCUCAAGGAAGAUAAUGACGGUACUUGAGGAGGAAGCCCCGGCUAACUACGUGCCAGCAGCCGCGGUAAUACGUAGGGGGCUAGCGUUAUCCGGAUUUACUGGGCGUAAAGGGUGCGUAGGCGGUCUUUUAAGUCAGGAGUGAAAGGCUACGGCUCAACCGUAGUAAGCUCUUGAAACUGGAGGACUUGAGUGCAGGAGAGGAGAGUGGAAUUCCUAGUGUAGCGGUGAAAUGCGUAGAUAUUAGGAGGAACACCAGUAGCGAAGGCGGCUCUCUGGACUGUAACUGACGCUGAGGCACGAAAGCGUGGGGAGCAAACAGGAUUAGAUACCCUGGUAGUCCACGCCGUAAACGAUGAGUACUAGCUGUCGGGUGGUUACCCCCUUCGGUGGCGCAGCUAACGCAUUAAGUACUCCGCCCGGGGAGUACGCUCGCCAGAGUGAAACUCAAAGGAAUUGACGGGGACCCGCACAGGAGGCGGAGCAUGUGGUUUAAUUCGAAGCAACGCGAAGUUCCUUACCUAAGCUUGACAUCCUUUUGACCGAUGCCUUAAUCGCAUCUUUCCCUUCGGGGACAGAAGUGACAGGUGGUGCAUGGUUGUCGUCAGCUCGUGUCGUGAGAUGUUGGGUUAAGUCCCGCAACGAGCGCAACCCUUGCCUUUAGUUGCCAUCAUUAAGUUGGGCACUCUAGAGGGACUGCCAGGGAUAACCUGGAGGAAGGUGGGGAUGACGUCAAAUCAUCAUGCCCCUUAUGCUUAGGGCUACACACGUGCUACAAUGGGUGGUACAGAGGGCAGCGAAGUCGUGAGGCCAAGCUAAUCCCUUAAAGCCAUUCUCAGUUCGGAUUGUAGGCUGAAACUCGCCUACAUGAAGCUGGAGUUACUAGUAAUCGCAGAUCAGAAUGCUGCGGUGAAUGCGUUCCCGGGUCUUGUACACACCAGCCCGUCA